Long non-coding RNA from Oryza sativa Japonica Group (Japanese rice), 493 nucleotides. RefSeq lists it as uncharacterized. Lineage: Eukaryota; Viridiplantae; Streptophyta; Magnoliopsida; Poales; Poaceae. The record is from RefSeq and is a predicted model, not a curated record.
CGACAUCGUCGCCGCAGCAGAGGGAGAGGGUCGGGGAGGAGCUCGGGGAUUGGGCGCCGCCGGAGUGGGCACUGCUGCUCAUCGGCUGCCUCCUUGGGCUCGCCACCGGCAUUUGCGUCGCCGCGUUUAACCGUGGGGUACCCCCAACGAAGGUGCAGCUUGGCUCUGCCUUCAGAGGCUAGCUGAUACUUGGCACAGAAUACUGCUGAUCCCUGUGACAGGAGGCGUUGUUGUUGGAAUGAUGCAUGGGUUGCUUGAGAUAUUUGAUCAGCUGAAACUCGUGAAACCGCCUCAGAAGCAAGUGGCCUUCCUCCCGAUUCAAUCCACCCUAGUCCCUAAUCAAUCCUUGCUCUCCUUUUUUCAGAUUCUAUGUAUAUCUAUCCUCCCUGAUUCCUAUAUGUGAUUUAUUACUGAAACUUCAUUACUUGAGGUAUUUUUCAAUGCCUAUUCUUCUAUUUAGGCUUGUUUGCAAAUGGAUAACGGAUUGUGAUCA